Molecule: ribosomal RNA, 484 nt
Filed under: uncultured bacterium
Lineage: Bacteria
Description: partial 16S ribosomal RNA
Rfam family: Bacterial small subunit ribosomal RNA
Source: RNAcentral
AUUGAACGCUGGCGGCAGGCCUAACACAUGCAAGUCGAGCGGAUGAAGGGAGCUUGCUCCUGGAUUCAGCGGCGGACGGGUGAGUAAUGCCUAGGAAUCUGCCUGGUAGUGGGGGAUAACGUCCGGAAACGGGCGCUAAUACCGCAUACGUCCUGAGGGAGAAAGUGGGGGAUCUUCGGACCUCACGCUAUCAGAUGAGCCUAGGUCGGAUUAGCUAGUUGGUGGGGUAAAGGCCUACCAAGGCGACGAUCCGUAACUGGUCUGAGAGGAUGAUCAGUCACACUGGAACUGAGACACGGUCCAGACUCCUAAGGGAGGCAGCAGUGGGGAAUAUGGGACAAUGGGCGAAAGCCUGAUCCAGCCAUGCCGCGUGUGUGAAGAAGGUCUUCGGAUUGUAAAGCACUUUAAGUUGGGAGGAAGGGCAGUAAGUUAAUACCUUGCUGUUUUGACGUUACCAACAGAAUAAGCACCGGCUAACUUCGUG